This 253-nucleotide ribosomal RNA is filed under the name uncultured bacterium. RNAcentral describes it as "partial 16S ribosomal RNA". It matches the Rfam family "Bacterial small subunit ribosomal RNA", at positions 524 to 776 of the family's 1533-position model. The record is from RNAcentral.
UACAGAGGUCUCAAGCGUUGUUCGGAUUCAUUGGGCGUAAAGGGUGCGUAGGCGGCGCGGUAAGUCGGGUGUGAAAUCUCGGAGCUUAACUCCGAAACUGCAUUCGAUACUGCCGUGCUUGAGGACCGGAGAGGAUAGUGGAAUUCCCAGUGUAGUGGUGAAAUACGUAGAGAUUGGGAAGAACACCAGUGGCGAAGGCGGCUAUCUGGACGGUUUCUGACACUAAGACUCGAAAGCGUGGGGAGCAAACAGG